GACGUAGGAUGCAAGCGUUGUCCGGAUUUAUUGGGCGUAAAGAGUUCGUAGGUGGUUUGUUAAGUCUGAUGUUAAAGAUCGGGGCCCAACCCCGGGAGUGCAUUGGAUACUGGCAGACUGGAGUGUAGUAGAGGCAAGCGGAAUUCCCAGUGUAGCGGUGAAAUGCGUAGAUAUUGGGAAGAACACCAGUGGCGUAAGCGGCUUGCUGGGCUAUAACUGACGCUGAGGAACGAAAGCCAGGGGAGCGAAU
RNAcentral lists this ribosomal RNA (250 nucleotides) under uncultured bacterium. RNAcentral describes it as "partial 16S ribosomal RNA". It matches the Rfam family "Bacterial small subunit ribosomal RNA", at positions 524 to 773 of the family's 1533-position model. The record is from RNAcentral.